This 458-nucleotide long non-coding RNA is filed under the name Calidris pugnax (ruff). Its description in RNAcentral is "lncRNA (ENSCPUG00000017783.1)". The record is from RNAcentral. Lineage: Eukaryota; Metazoa; Chordata; Aves; Charadriiformes; Scolopacidae.
AUGGUACCACCUCGUCUUCUUCUGGAACACAGUCCAAGAAAGAAACCAGCAGCUAUUGAAGAGAGAAAAGAGGAAAAGAAAAAGGCUGAUGUAAAGAGGGCUAUGACUGAAACUAAGAAGAAAGAAAAAGAAGGAAAAAAAGAGAAAGCUCAUGAGAAGACAGCUGUCCCUGAAAUUAAAAAAGCAGGUAAGAAAUUGAAGUCUCUCUUUCUCUGCAGUAGAUAUCUGACUACUUAGUGUAGGUGCUUCCAGGUUUUAUGCAUUUGAGAUAGGGGUAUAUGAAAUUCAUUAUCACUUAAGAAUUCGAGAGAGAGGGGUAUAUGUAAUUCAUUAUCACUUAAGAAUCCAAGAGAGAGAAACAUUACAAUAUACUUGUAUAUAUGUGUGCAUAAUGUGUUUACACUAUAUCAUGCAUUUAUAGUAAUUUAUGCAUAUUAUUAUAUAUGCAUACAUGUAUU